GCCGGAAGCGGAAGCCGCGCCGAGGCUCGUGUCAGUGGAAGCUGGGGUGUCGGCGGGCGGCCGCGGCCGGGUCUAGCGGUGCCUGCGGAAGAAGGAGGAGGAGGGCUGGCGAUGAGAAGCAGCAGGAGGAAUCAAGGGCAAGAAGGGACCCAGAGGGGCAGGUGGCUGAGAUGCUGGCGUCCAGGUGACCCGAGGAAUCCUCUGGAGAUACAGGCCCGCGCAUGCGCGUGCUCGAGCGCUGAAGCCCAUUGCCCGCAGGGCGCUGGACUGGCGCCCCGGCCGGCGAGGCUGUCUAGUCCAGGCUCCAGGCCCCGGCUCUGGCCAGGCGCCGCCGCCUCCCGGUGCAGCUGAAAGUCGACGAAGAGGGCGGGGCGGGGGCGGCUUGUGGACUUCCACACUUUUCCUCUCUUCGGGCCAGUCCGGGGAGAGGGUGGCUAGCUGUGGCGGCGGCCAAUUACGUGGCGGACCUGCGGGGCUAAGCUGGCACGUCACUUCCGACUAGUGGAGUUUUUAGCCUUUUAACAUUCAAGGAUUAGGUAAAAGUCUUGCAGUGAAAAACCCGAGGACCCUUACCGCAAGUGUCCUUUGCUCCCAGCUACUGAUACUGGAUUCCACUUGUGAUUCUCCCUUUCUUAGCGCAUUCAUGAUAUAGACAUCAGUCUCUGAGCUGGAGGAGGACAAAGGCAGCAGUCCUGUGAAUUCUAUGCUCUAGCUUGGGUUAAGGGAUUUGGAAUUGCACUUGUUCCAGAGAGCUCCCUCUUUGCCCACUAGCAGGGCAUUAGCUGGUGCUGAAGACAGUGGCUGCUUGGCGAGCCUGGAUCUCCAAGUGACUCCAAGUGACCCCCUCAGCAACUCCUGAUGAACAGGACUGAAGCCAAUAUUAAAGCAAGUCAACCAAAGAUUCUCUGGUGUAGACAAGACAGCAAAAGGACAGACUACCUUGUGGAACCUAGCAUUGUUCUCCUUCUGCAGCACUAAGUAACAUUUGUGCUCCGUUAAGAUCUUUGCAAACCACACACAAGAAUUGCUGGUCAUCCUGCCAAUAGAUGCUGCUCACAGAACCAAAUUUCCUGUGCUGAAUUGUCACUCAUGGGCUUGAGAGUAGGAGACUGGAGACCAAGGUGGCUAGAAUCCAGUUGGGCCUGAUGUCUCCCUGUUGAAAGGGCUCCUUGUGGAAUAAACAGCACAUGGCUCCCGUGGUGGAUCUGAUAGUGGCACAGCACCAAGUGAUGCAGGCCUGCCAGGGGCCACAGACACAGAAGAUGCUCCCAGGGUCCCCCGUGUACUCCAGACACACUGCAGGCCACCUCUCCCAGCAGGUUGCCAGUCAUGGGCCCCAUCAUCAUGACUUCUGUCCAAGGUGUGCUCGGAAAUCUCUUCCUUAACUGUGACUUUCUGACAGGUGGAGGAUGUGGUCAGGAGUGGGAAAAGGAUUCGAGACGGGAAGAGGGAGGGGUUCAGGAUGAAGAGAGAUAAUCUGUGCCACAGAUGCUGGCCCUGCAGUUAGCUCCCACCUAGUCCGUGCACACACAUUCUAAUCCCCUCGCAUUCCUCUACAUGCUGCAGCCAGAGAGGCCUUUCUCAAAGUGGAAGUCGCAUCCUCACUUCUCUGGUUACAGUGCUGGGCCAUGGGUAACUUACAAGGCUUAGCAGGAACUGUCUGCGCACUCCCCCUUCCUGCCCACUGCCUUGUUUCCCUCCAGUUGCGAGAGCAAACAUUGAUUGAGCAUUAACUAUGUGCCAGGCUUGUCCUAAGUCCUUUGCAUGUAUUCACUCAAACAAUCCUCACAACAUUCCUCUCACAUCUCCCAUUUCACAGUGAGGGUUCUAAAGCACGUAGUGGGUGAGGAACUUGUCCGGGGUCACACAACUAAGUGGGGGUGGAGAAACAUCAAAUCUGAGUGGUCCAGGUGGUGGCCAGAACCCAUCAGCACCUCACUACAGCUGCCUCCAGUUUCUCGCUCUAGGAAAUACUCUUCCCUGUCAACUCCUGUUGUCCUCUGGGCUCAGUUGACAUGUCAUCUCCUUGAGGAGGACAUCCUGAGAUGCUCCCCGACUAGGGUGGGCACCCACUUCCACACUCCAAAUGCCUAUUUGACCUGUGUAUCGCUGCA
RNAcentral lists this long non-coding RNA (2114 nucleotides) under Pan troglodytes (chimpanzee). RNAcentral's name for it is "long non-coding RNA NONPTRT015081". The record is from RNAcentral. Lineage: Eukaryota; Metazoa; Chordata; Mammalia; Primates; Hominidae.